RNAcentral lists this ribosomal RNA (439 nucleotides) under uncultured bacterium. Its description in RNAcentral is "partial 16S ribosomal RNA". It matches the Rfam family "Bacterial small subunit ribosomal RNA", at positions 339 to 795 of the family's 1533-position model. The record is from RNAcentral.
CUACGGGAGGCACCAGUGAGGAAUAUUGCACAAUGGGGGGAACCCUGAUGCAGCAACGCCGCGUGGAGGAUGACGCAUUUCGAUGUGUAAACUCCUUUUAUAUGUCAAGAAAAUGACGGUAGCAUAUGAAUAAGCACCGGCUAACUCCGUGCCAGCAGCCGCGGUAAUACGGAGGGUGCAAGCGUUACUCGGAAUCGCGGGGCGUAAAGGACGCGUAGGCGGGUUGGAAAGUCAGGUGUGAAAUCCUACAGCUUAACUGUAGAACUGCACUUGAAACUUCUAAUCUAGAGUAUGGGAGGGGGAGAUGGAAUUAGUGGUGUAGGGGUAAAAGCCGUAGAUAUCACUAGGAAUACCUAAAGCGAAGGCGAUCUCCUGGAACAUUACUGACGCUAAGGCGUGAAAGCGUGGGGAGCAAACAGGAUUAGAUACCCCGGUAGUC